UCCUAACAUGGCAACACAAUAACUGCUCGCCAAACAACUACGAGUGAAAACUUAAAACUUAAAGGACUUGACGGUACUUCACCCAACCUAGAGGAGCCUGUCCAAUAACCGAUAACCCACGAUUAAUCCAACCACUUCUGGCCAUUCAGUCUAUAUACCGCCGUCGCAAGCCCACCUUGCAAAAGAAACAAAGUGAGCCAAAUAGUCCUACACUAACACGACAGGUCGAGGUGUAACUCAUGAAGUGGACCAGGAUGGGCUACAUUUUCUAACACAGACCACACGAACAAAGAUAUGAAACUAUCUUCCAAAGGUGGAUUUAGCAGUAAGCUAAGAACACAAUGCCUAGCUGAAACCAUUGCAA
Molecule: ribosomal RNA, 364 nt
Filed under: Leiopython albertisii (white-lipped python)
Lineage: Eukaryota; Metazoa; Chordata; Lepidosauria; Squamata; Pythonidae
Description: Bothrochilus albertisii (white-lipped python) partial 12S ribosomal RNA
Rfam family: Bacterial small subunit ribosomal RNA
Source: RNAcentral